GUAUCGUUGAUGGCUGGGUCGACCACUGGUGUACCGAUGUCUCCUGGAUAAGGCGGAUACCAAACCGCAACGCCGCCGCCUUACUACACAACAAAAUACGCAACGACCAGUUACUACACCGAGGUUGCACAGUUGGGUUUACAGUUAAACCACCAAGGAUCCAGAUUAUUACACCACAACUUGUGCUGCUCCCCGAUCUACACUAAUACCAAAACGCAGAGUACUACACCGAGGCUCCUAAGUACUACACCACCGAGGCACCUACUGAGACUACGCAACUACGUAUGCUGCCCCAACCUACGACGCCGAGGCUCCAGCUUAUUACACCACUAAAGCUGUCGGAAUACUACACUGGAGCGCCCAAGUACGAUAGAAGUCAGUCAAGUGAGAUUCUCCGACACGCAACACGACAGCACGAUGGUCAAAAGAAUUCAUUUCAGCAGAUUUAAACUGACCAUGUCGUCACUGUUGUCGGUUGGGACGCAAACUUCACGGAUUUGGCUGUCGUUUCUGGUUUGGAAAUAGAUUCCAAUUUUGGUGGUUAUCGAGUCAAUACCGAGCUUGAAGCACGAUCGAACGUCUGGUUGGCUGGAGAUGUUGCGUUCGUUUGUGGUAUCAAAUUGGGUUGUCAUCGUAUGGAACAUCAUCACUUUGCUGUUGUAUCAGGGCGAUUGCUGGAGAGAACAAUACUGGAAACAAAACAUGGAUGAACAACUGCAGUGCACCGUCACCAAGUUCAUUCUUCGUCGUAUUAUCAGUACGCAAUCGGUGUCGUGCUGUUGCCGUUUGUCGUAUCGUUGAAGGUUGGGUCGAUCACUGGUGUACCCAUGUCUCCUGGGUAUGGCGGAUACCAAAGCACCACGCCGCCGCCUUGCUACACAACGAAAACAUUCGCACCAACCGGUUACUACACUGAGGGCCACAAUUACUACACCAUUAAGGCUCUAGAGUAUUAAACCGCAGCUAAUGCUGCCCCGAGCUCAAUCACCGAGGCUCCCAAGUACUACACCUAGGCUCCCAAGUACUACACCAUCAAGUCACCGGAGUACUACACGUAUGUUGCCCCACCUUAUACACCGAGGCUCCCAAGUAUUACUUAGUUCCUAGCUACUACACCGAAGCUCCAACUUUAUUACACCACCAAAGCGGCUGAAUACUACACCGAGCCGCCCAAGUACUACACCACCAAGGCUCCAGAGUAUUACACCACAACUUAUGUUUCCCCGAGGCACUACACCGAAGCCCCGAAGUAUUACUCUGCCUCAAGCUACACAACUACAACUGAGGCAGCCAAGUAUUACGCAGCCCCGACUUACUACAUAGCGGCUGCUGCUCCUCCUUCGUACUACGUUGAACCGGAAUACUACACCGAGGCUCCAGUUUACUACACCACAACCUACGCUACAACUAGCUACUACACCGAGGCACCUAAGUACUACGCUACCAAGGCACCGAGUAUUAUACCACUACUUACGCUGUUCCGACCAGCUACACCGAAGCUCCGAACUAUUCCGAGUUACUACACCACUAAGGCACCUGAAUAUUACACCACACCCUACGCUUCUCCAACUUACUACAGGGACUUAUCUAAAUACUAGAGUCGAAUUUUCAAUUUUAGUAAUCAUGUUCAGAUUUGUCGGUCAUAUCUUGACAGUUACUAGUCACUAGGAAUUGUUGAAUUUUAAUGAGCAAAUAAUUGUCUUAACCUGGUUAAUCAUUUUGUACGGCUCUUCUUGCCACCUAAAAGCCUUUGACAUUGAGACACUUUCUGAUUUUUAUUGGAUCUUUUCUAGUUCGUAUGUUGGAGAUGACUAUUGCUCUAGUCGCUCUGCAUUCCGACAUAUUCUAGUGUUUGGACAAAAGAGUUGCAGAUAAGUGUUUGGUUUCUCAUAGAAGUUUAUUUGAAGGGUCUGGAGUUGAUCAGUCACUUGCCUAUAACUUAUGUAAAACUUCAAAUUUGUAAAAAAUACACAAGUCGUGAACUAAA
Long non-coding RNA from Daphnia pulex (common water flea), 1987 nucleotides. RefSeq lists it as uncharacterized. Lineage: Eukaryota; Metazoa; Arthropoda; Branchiopoda; Diplostraca; Daphniidae. The transcript has 4 exons. The record is from RefSeq and is a predicted model, not a curated record.